CUUUAAAAUCUGGAUCAAGCUGAAAAUUGAAACACUGAACAACGAAAGUUGUUCGUGAGUCUCAAAUUUUCGCAACACGAUGAUGAAUCGCAAGAAACAUCUUCGG
This 106-nucleotide small RNA is filed under the name Escherichia coli. RNAcentral describes it as "StyR-44". It matches the Rfam family "Salmonella enterica Typhi npcRNA 44". The record is from RNAcentral. Lineage: Bacteria; Pseudomonadati; Pseudomonadota; Gammaproteobacteria; Enterobacterales; Enterobacteriaceae.